RNAcentral lists this transfer RNA (65 nucleotides) under Tenebrionoidea sp. 17 KM-2017. RNAcentral describes it as "tRNA-Thr". It matches the Rfam family "tRNA". From Rfam's summary of the family: Transfer RNA (tRNA) molecules are approximately 80 nucleotides in length. Their secondary structure includes four short double-helical elements and three loops (D, anti-codon, and T loops). Lineage: Eukaryota; Metazoa; Arthropoda; Insecta; Coleoptera. The record is from RNAcentral.
GUUUUAAUAAUUUAAAUAAAAAUAUUGGUCUUGUAAACCAAAAUUAAGCUACUGCUUUUAAAACU